This 1343-nucleotide ribosomal RNA is filed under the name uncultured bacterium. RNAcentral's name for it is "16S ribosomal RNA". It matches the Rfam family "Bacterial small subunit ribosomal RNA", at positions 28 to 1378 of the family's 1533-position model. The record is from RNAcentral.
GACGAACGCUGGCGGCGUGCUUAACACAUGCAAGUCGAACGGAAAGGCCCUGCUUUUGUGGGGUGCUCGAGUGGCGAACGGGUGAGUAACACGUGAGUAACCUGCCCUUGACUUUGGGAUAACUUCAGGAAACUGGGGCUAAUACCGGAUAGGAGCUCCUGCUGCAUGGUGGGGGUUGGAAAGUUUCGGCGGUUGGGGAUGGACUCGCGGCUUAUCAGCUUGUUGGUGGGGUAGUGGCUUACCAAGGCGUUGACGGGUAGCCGGCCUGAGAGGGUGACCGGCCACAUUGGGACUGAGAUACGGCCCAGACUCCUACGGGAGGCAGCAGUGGGGAAUAUUGCACAAUGGGCGGAAGCCUGAUGCAGCAACGCCGCGUGCGGGAUGACGGCCUUCGGGUUGUAAACCGCUUUCGCCUGUGACGAAGCGUGAGUGACGGUAAUGGGUAAAGAAGCACCGGCUAACUACGUGCCAGCAGCCGCGGUGAUACGUAGGGUGCGAGCGUUGUCCGGAUUUAUUGGGCGUAAAGGGCUCGUAGGUGGUUGAUCGCGUCGGAAGUGUAAUCUUGGGGCUUAACCCUGAGCGUGCUUUCGAUACGGGUUGACUUGAGGAAGGUAGGGGAGAAUGGAAUUCCUGGUGGAGCGGUGGAAUGCGCAGAUAUCAGGAGGAACACCAGUGGCGAAGGCGGUUCUCUGGGCCUUUCCUGACGCUGAGGAGCGAAAGCGUGGGGAGCGAACAGGCUUAGAUACCCUGGUAGUCCACGCUGUAAACGGUGGGUACUAGGUGUGGGGUCCAUUCCACGGGUUCCGUGCCGUAGCUAACGCUUUAAGUACCCCGCCUGGGGAGUACGGCCGCAAGGCUAAAACUCAAAGGAAUUGACGGGGCCCCGCACAAGCGGCGGAGCAUGCGGAUUAAUUCGAUGCAACGCGUAGAACCUUACCUGGGUUUGACAUGGAUCGGGAGCGCUCAGAGAUGGGUGUGCCUCUUUUGGGGUCGGUUCACAGGUGGUGCAUGGCUGUCGUCAGCUCGUGUCGUGAGAUGUUGGGUUAAGUCCCGCAACGAGCGCAACCCUUGUUCACUGUUGCCAGCACGUUAUGGUGGGGACUCAGUGGAGACCGCCGGGGUCAACUCGGAGGAAGGUGGGGAUGACGUCAAGUCAUCAUGCCCCUUAUGUCCAGGGCUUCACGCAUGCUACAAUGGCUGGUACAGAGAGUGGCGAGCCUGUGAGGGUGAGCGAAUCUCGGAAAGCCGGUCUCAGUUCGGAUUGGGGUCUGCAACUCGACCUCAUGAAGUCGGAGUCGCUAGUAAUCGCAGAUCAGCAACGCUGCGGUGAAUACGUUCCCGGG